GGCAUUAGCAUUUGGAAUGGUGUAUUUCUCAGUUGGAAUUGGAUACAUGUCUGGCCCUUCUAUUGCAGGAGCUAUAGUUGAUGGUGGAGCAACGUAUACAGAAACUUAUCUUUUUGCAGCAUCUAUGUUCCUGCUGUCUAGUGUAAUCAUUAUGGUCAUACCACUGGUCCACAACAGGGAUGUACACACUGUCUCGACGUUAAACCAGAAGAUGUCUGCAACAAAGUUGGCAGAGGAGACUGGGGAGGAAACAUGUGUGAUGUAUGGGUUGACAAGUUCCAGUUGAUAUUUG
This is a long non-coding RNA of Haliotis rufescens (red abalone), 292 nucleotides long. RefSeq lists it as uncharacterized. Lineage: Eukaryota; Metazoa; Mollusca; Gastropoda; Lepetellida; Haliotidae. The record is from RefSeq and is a predicted model, not a curated record. The transcript is spliced from 3 exons.